UACGGAGGGUGCAAGCGUUAAUCGGAAUUACUGGGCGUAAAGCGUGCGUAGGCGGCCAUUUAAGUUGGAUGUGAAAGCCCUGGGCUCAACCUGGGAACUGCAUCCAAAACUGAGUGGCUUGAGUGCGGAAGAGGAGUGUGGAAUUUCCUGUGUAGCGGUGAAAUGCGUAGAUAUAGGAAGGAACACCAGUGGCGAAGGCGACACUCUGGUCUGACACUGACGCUGAGGUACGAAAGCGUGGGGAGCAAACAGG
This 253-nucleotide ribosomal RNA is filed under the name uncultured bacterium. Its description in RNAcentral is "partial 16S ribosomal RNA". It matches the Rfam family "Bacterial small subunit ribosomal RNA", at positions 524 to 776 of the family's 1533-position model. The record is from RNAcentral.